This is a non-coding RNA of Trichonephila inaurata madagascariensis, 75 nucleotides long. Lineage: Eukaryota; Metazoa; Arthropoda; Arachnida; Araneae; Nephilidae. The record is from the annotation of a GenBank genome assembly.
GUCCUUGUAGCGUAAUGAAUAGCGUGUUGGACUUUUAAUCCAAAGGUCGUGCGUUCGCGAAUCCCAUCUGGGAUG